This 543-nucleotide ribosomal RNA is filed under the name uncultured bacterium. RNAcentral describes it as "bacterial SSU rRNA". It matches the Rfam family "Bacterial small subunit ribosomal RNA", at positions 777 to 1319 of the family's 1533-position model. The record is from RNAcentral.
AAUAGAUACCCUGGUAGUCCACGCCGUAAACGAUGAGUGCUAAGUGUUAGGGGGUUUCCGCCCCUUAGUGCUGCAGCUAACGCAUUAAGCACUCCGCCUGGGGAGUACGGUCGCAAGACUGAAACUCAAAGGAAUUGACGGGGGCCCGCACAAGCGGUGGAGCAUGUGGUUUAAUUCGAAGCAACGCGAAGAACCUUACCAGGUCUUGACAUCCCAUUGACCACUAUGGAGACAUAGUUUUCCCUUCGGGGACAGCGGUGACAGGUGGUGCAUGGUUGUCGUCAGCUCGUGUCGUGAGAUGUUGGGUUAAGUCCCGCAACGAGCGCAACCCUUGUUCUUAGUUGCCAUCAUUUAGUUGGGCACUCUAAGGAGACUGCCGGUGACAAACCGGAGGAAGGUGGGGAUGACGUCAAAUCAUCAUGCCCCUUAUGACCUGGGCUACACACGUGCUACAAUGGACGGUACAAACGGUUGCCAACCCGCGAGGGGAGCUAAUCCGAUAAAACCGUUCUCAGUUCGGAUUGUAGGCUGCAACUCGCCUAC